This 921-nucleotide non-coding RNA is filed under the name Scinax nasicus (lesser snouted treefrog). RNAcentral's name for it is "partial 12S small subunit ribosomal RNA". It matches the Rfam family "Bacterial small subunit ribosomal RNA". The record is from RNAcentral. Lineage: Eukaryota; Metazoa; Chordata; Amphibia; Anura; Hylidae.
UGGUCCUGGCCUUAUAAUCAAUUUUAACUCAACUUACACAUGCAAGUCUCCGCAACCCUGUGAGAACGCCCUUAAAUCCCCCUCAGGGAUCAGGAGCUGGUAUCAGGCUCGACCCUCAGCCCAUGACACCUAGCUAUGCCACUCCCACACGGGUAUUCAGCAGUGAUCAACAUUGAAUAUAAGCGCAAGCUUGAUUCAGUCAGAGUUUACAGAGCCGGCAAAUCUGGUGCCAGCCGCCGCGGCCAUACCUCGGGCUCAAAUUGACUAUAUUCGGCGUAAAGCGUGAUUAAAGCGACCAUAAACUGCAGUUAAACCAAGCCUAAGAUGUUUUAAAUCUCGAGCCUGGGAAGUUCAAAAACGAAAGUAACUGCAAAACGACCCACUUGACUUCACGACAGUUAGGAAACAAACUGGGAUUAGAUACCCCACUAUGCCUAACCGUAAACUUUAAUUUACACCCAAAUCGCCAGGGAAUUACGAGCAACGCUUAAAACCCAAAGGACUUGACGGUACCCCAUCCCACCUAGAGGAGCCUGUCCUGUAAUCGAUACCCCCCGUUCAACCUCACCACUCUUUUCCAGUUUGUAUAUCGCCGUCGUCAGCCUACCGCGUGAGCGAUCUCAGUACGCGAGAGGACUGUCCGCCAAAACGUCAGGUCAAGGUGCAGCAUAUAGAGUGGGAAGAGAUGGGCUACACUCUCUAACUUAGAAUAUACAAAUGACUUUAUUGAAACAUUGGUCUGAAGGUGGAUUUAGUAGUAAAAUGAGACAAGAGAGCUCAUUUUAACCAGGCUAUGGGGUGUGUACACACCGCCCGUCACCCUCUUCGAGAACUUAAACAAUAGUAUGUAACGCCCUAUAAUAAUAGAGAAGAGGCAAGUCGUAACANNNNNNNNNNNNNNNNNNNNNNNNNNNNNNNNNN